GAUGAACGCUGGCGGCGUGCCUAAUACAUGCAAGUCGAGCGAACGGACGAGAAGCUUGCUUCUCUGAUGUUAGCGGCGGACGGGUGAGUAACACGUGGAUAACCUACCUAUAAGACUGGGGUAACUUCGGGAAACCGGAGCUAAUACCGGAUAAUCUUUUGAACCGCAUGGUUCAAUAGUGAAAGACGGUCUUGCUGUCACUUAUAGAUGGAUCCGCGCUGCAUUAGCUAGUUGGUAAGGUAACGGCUUACCAAGGCAACGAUGCAUAGCCGACCUGAGAGGGUGAUAGGCCACACUGGAACUGAGACACGGUCCAGACUCCUACGGGAGGCAGCAGUAGGGAAUCUUCCGCAAUGGGCGAAAGCCUGACGGAGCAACGCCGCGUGAGUGAUGAAGGUCUUCGGAUCGUAAAACUCUGUUAUUAGGGAAGAACAUAUGUGUAAGUAACUGUGCACAUCUUGACGGUACCUAAUCAGAAAGCCACGGCUAACUACGUG
Molecule: ribosomal RNA, 497 nt
Filed under: uncultured bacterium
Lineage: Bacteria
Description: partial 16S ribosomal RNA
Rfam family: Bacterial small subunit ribosomal RNA
Source: RNAcentral